This 303-nucleotide ribosomal RNA is filed under the name uncultured bacterium. RNAcentral's name for it is "partial 16S ribosomal RNA". It matches the Rfam family "Bacterial small subunit ribosomal RNA", at positions 507 to 807 of the family's 1533-position model. The record is from RNAcentral.
AGCAGUCGCCACGGGAAUACGUAGGUGGCAAGCGUUGUCCGGAAUUAUUGGGCGUAAAGGGCUCGCAGGCGGUUUCUUAAGUCUGAUGUGAAAGCCUCCGGCUCAACCGGGGAGGGUCAUUGGAAACUGGGAAACUUGAGUGCAGAAGAGGAGAGUGGAAUUCCACGUGUAGCGGUGAAAUGCGUAGAGAUGUGGAGGAACACCAGUGGCGAAGGCGACUCUCUGGUCUGUAACUGACGCUGAGGAGCGAAAGCGUGGGGAGCGAACAGGAUUAGAUACCCCAGUAGUCCCUGUCUCUUAUAC